This 317-nucleotide unclassified non-coding RNA is filed under the name uncultured Ophiostomataceae. Its description in RNAcentral is "sequence contains ITS1". The stretch from base 1 to 105 matches the Rfam family "5.8S ribosomal RNA", at positions 50 to 154 of the family's 154-position model. The record is from RNAcentral. Lineage: Eukaryota; Fungi; Ascomycota; Sordariomycetes; Ophiostomatales.
GAAAUGCGAAAAGCAAUGCGAAUUGCAGAAUUCCGCGAGUCAUCAGAUCUUCGAACGCAUCUGGCGCCGAUCGGAUCUCCGGUUGGCAUGUUUGUUUCAGUGUGUUGUUAAGACUCACAAAUCUUAAUGUGAUUGACUGUGUAAUAGAGUGUCACAGCCCUGUUACCAGUCUCUCAUGAAAGAAAGCGCUGUGCGAACCGCACUAAUGCAGUAGUCAGUCCUUGCGAUUGAUACUCAUUGGUACGGAUCAUUCUACAGUGUCAAAUCAAAUCAUCACACACGCAUCUGAGACAAGCAAGAUAACCCGCUGAACUUAA